RNAcentral lists this long non-coding RNA (1700 nucleotides) under Heterocephalus glaber (naked mole-rat). Its description in RNAcentral is "lncRNA (ENSHGLG00000042340.1)". Lineage: Eukaryota; Metazoa; Chordata; Mammalia; Rodentia; Bathyergidae. The record is from RNAcentral.
CAGGCUGUGUGCAGCUGAAGCAGGCGAGGCCUGGAGCAGGCGCCCCGGGCAGGUCGCUCCCUGCCCUGCAGUCCCGACCCGAAGGCCAGAGCCAGAGCAGCCUUGGGCGUGGGUGUGGGGCCACCCCAGGGCGGAUCAGCCCCAGGCCGCGGAAUCCAGCCCUGCCAGGUCGGUCGCAGGUCGGCGCGGGCCCACACAAGGCCCACUUCCUCCCUCCCGCGAGGCAGGCCCUGUUAUUAUCCCUGCAUCAUCAAUGAGGAAACUGAGGCAGAAAGAUGCAGUCACUUGCUCGAGGUCACAUGCCCACCGUGUCAACCAUCACAGCUGAUGUGCAACACAUGCAUCGAGGAGUGGCCGGCACCUCCGGGGUCACGGGUCAAGAUGGUCUAUGAAGAGACAGCCGUUGGCAGAAUGGGCCAGAGAAUCCGGAAACAGCACCGACUGGCCCUGCCUGGGGGAGUUCGGCGUCUCCAAACCCUGGGCCCAGUUCACUGCCACCGAGUGGCUGCACCCCUGGGGGCAGCUACACAGAACCCCUUCCGAGUAUGCCGAGCGAUGUACGUGAGAUUGUUCAUGGUGGCCCCUUCUCUUCUCCUUGCCUGAUGUACUGGGGCCCAUCUCAAUGUCACCCAUCGAUAGAGAACUAGUUCAGGUAACUGAGGCAAUUGCCAAGUGACAAACAGACCCCUCUGUCGUGUGCUUUGAAAAGGGGCGCAAAGGGUGGACAGAAUGAGAUGGUAAAAGACAUCAUCACGCUGCCCAGGAUGCCAUGCAAUUUAAAACAUGAAUUUUCUAUUUCUGGGAUUUCACAUUUAGUAUUUUCAGACCCCAUUUGACCCCGGGUAACUGAAACUAUGGACCACAAAACCACAGAUGGGGGGGCGCAGGGGACUCCUGUACAUUGUUUCAUGAAAGGUAAAGACGCAGCAGGACAGGACGCGGGGCGCACGCCUGCGAUCCAGCACUCGGGAGGCUGAGGCAGCAGGAGCACAAGUUCCAGCCCAACCCAGGCAACAGCAACUUAGUGAGACCCUGUCUUACAAUGAAAGGCGGGGAGGGGCUGGGGACGUGCCUCAGCGUGAAGGACAUGUGUUCAAUCCCCAACACUCUUUACAAAUUUUAAGAAAGCAAACUACUAGCAUUUGUGUACAAAACAGCUGCAGCGACUACGGGAGUACGUUUGCUUCUAGACUCGUGAGAACCCUGGGUAACCAGAGACACCAGGGUGCCGUGGACAGGGACUUGAUGGCCAGGGACCGGGUGGGAGGUUUUCUGUGUCCGGAGGUUUGUUCCAGGGCCUCUCCAUACCAAGUCCUUUAAUGAAAUGGCUGUGUAUUUGCCCAUACGCGCACGCAUCCUCCCAUGAGGCGGAGCAACUUUGAGUCAUUUCCAGAUGACUUACAGUGCCUCAGACAAGGCAAGUGCUAAGUACUUGUUACUCAGUAUUGACACAGGAAAGCGACUGGAUGUGCUCAGAACAGACGAAAAAAAUUCGUUCAGGAUUUUCAACCACAGAUGCAGAGCCCAGGAGUGGGACGGCAGCUGUACCACCCUGCAACGCCUUUGGGGUCUUGAAUCACAGCAGCGGACUCUUUUUUCUUUUCUUUGAAAAUUUUGUUAUUCUAUGUACUGACCAUUUAAAACACAUUUAAUUUUUAAUUUUAGAACUUUGCAAAUAGCCAGGCACUGUGGCACUUGUC